Long non-coding RNA from Ruditapes philippinarum (Manila clam), 271 nucleotides. RefSeq lists it as uncharacterized. The transcript has 3 exons. NCBI's taxonomy places the organism in Eukaryota, Metazoa, Mollusca, Bivalvia, Venerida, Veneridae. The record is from RefSeq and is a predicted model, not a curated record.
AACAAACUUGUCUGGGUGAUUUGCAGAUGAAAUUGGCAUCUCUCUCAGUGUUCAAGGACCUGGAAAGAUAUCAUACAAACAUUGUGACGUCACUAAAGAAGACGAAAUAAAGAAAUGUAUUGACGAAACAAUUGAGGCUUUUGGCAGAAUCGAUUGUGUCAUCAACGACGUUGGCUACUUUCCAGGAGGUCAUAGUAUCAAUGACGUCACUUCCGAUUUGUUCAGGCGUGUUCUAGAUGUUAACAUAGUCAGUCAGUUUACGAUGUGUAAG